Rhinopithecus roxellana (golden snub-nosed monkey) is the source of this 757-nucleotide long non-coding RNA. RefSeq lists it as uncharacterized. NCBI's taxonomy places the organism in Eukaryota, Metazoa, Chordata, Mammalia, Primates, Cercopithecidae. The transcript has 3 exons. The record is from RefSeq and is a predicted model, not a curated record.
AGGAACAUGGUUCCAGGAUGCCACAGAAUGGAAGAUGGCAGUGGCUCAGGGCUGUGGAAGACAGGAGCAGUCUGAAAAGCUUGCAGGGGAACUGCCGCCACCCUGGAUUGGGUGAAACAGAGCUGAGCAGCUGAGGACUGAAGGUCGUGCCUUUUGUGUGGGUGAACAAAGAUCAUUAUUUGUUCCUGUGUGUCACUGUCAAGUAGAGAGCUUUCCCGUUUUCUCCCUGCAUCUCUCUGUAUGCGGUAGGUAUGCGGGAAUGUAGUUAUGGCAAUGACACGCGCUUUCUUACCGUUUCCCACAUCCCUUUCUGAGUCAGGUAGAAAUAUUUGAGGGCCAGUGGGACUGACAAUAGCUGUUCUAGGAGGUCAGAAAGGAAGCGGAAAGGCAAGGCUGGCUUGGUUUCUGGAGGAACAGAAGCCAGUCCUCAGAACCCUCCAGCCUCCCGGCACGGCACUGCUAGGGGAACUGUCCAGUUGAGUUACUUAGAAUCGCAUCUCUCCCGGGACCUGCUGUUAAUCUCCAGCCCAGCCCCCAUGAGAACCCAGACCGAUAGCUAAGAAUGGAGCUGUCUGUCUUUCUGAGCCCCCUGAUUGUUUUGUUAUUGCUAAUGGGCUGAUUUCCAGUUAUGUAACCUCCUCUCUGUUAGAUGAAAUCUCAUUAUUUUACUGUGCUGUGCACAUCAGGUCUGGUUCACGUUGAGCUACCUGAGAGGAGCUGGGAACGUGCUGUUUCUCAUCAUUUUCAUCCAGCAAGA